Molecule: ribosomal RNA, 460 nt
Filed under: uncultured bacterium
Lineage: Bacteria
Description: partial 16S ribosomal RNA
Rfam family: Bacterial small subunit ribosomal RNA
Source: RNAcentral
CCUACGGUGAGCUGCAGUGAGGAAUAUUGGUCAAUGGCCGUAAGGCUGAACCAGCCAAGUCGCGUGAAGGAAGAAGGAUCUAUGGUUUGUAAACUUCUUUUAUAGGGGCAUAAAGGUAUCCACGUGUGGAUAUUUGCAUGUACCCUAUGAAUACGCAUCGGCUAACUCCGUGCCAGCAGCCGCGGUAAUCCGGAGGUUGCGAGCGUUAUCCGGAUUUAUUGGGUUUAAAGGGUGCGUAGGUUGUUUUUUAAGUCAGCGGUGAAAGUUUGUGGCUCAACCAUAAAAUUGCCGUUGAAACUGGAAGACUUGAGUGUGGUAGAGGUAGGCGGAAGUCGUGGUGUAGCGGUGAAAUGCGUAGAUAUCACGCAGAACACCGAUUGCGAAGGCAGCUUACUGGGCCAUAACUGACGCUGAGGCACGAAAGCGUGGGGAUCAAACAGGAUUAGAUACCCGAGUAGUC